CCCUACGGGGGGCAGCAGUGAGGAAUAUUGGUCAAUGGCCGGAAGGCUGAACCAGCCAAGCCGCGUGAAGGACGAAGGUGCCAAGCAUUGUAAACUUCUUUUGUCAAGGGACAAAAUCAGGCUCGAGAGCCUGACCGAGGGUACUUGAAGAAAAAGCAUCGGCUAACUCCGUGCCAGCAGCCGCGGUAAUACGGAGGAUGCGAGCGUUAUCCGGAUUUAUUGGGUUUAAAGGGUGCGUAGGCGGACUGUCAAGUCAGCGGUAAAAUACGGGGGCUCAACCUCCGCCCGCCGUUGAAACUGACGGG
RNAcentral lists this ribosomal RNA (305 nucleotides) under uncultured bacterium. RNAcentral's name for it is "bacterial SSU rRNA". It matches the Rfam family "Bacterial small subunit ribosomal RNA", at positions 337 to 640 of the family's 1533-position model. The record is from RNAcentral.